Molecule: non-coding RNA, 533 nt
Filed under: Pongo abelii (Sumatran orangutan)
Lineage: Eukaryota; Metazoa; Chordata; Mammalia; Primates; Hominidae
Source: RNAcentral
GCUCUAUUCCAGAAGCAGUGUGGAGCACAAAGAAUCCCUAAUCCCUGACAUUAAGAAAGAAGAAAAAUAUUCCUAGGACGAUCCUGGAGAGCAAAGGUCAUUAGCAGUCACUUGACUUUCCUUGGAUUUCUCAACUGCAGUAGUCACACGGUCUGCUGAAAAUGAAUUCUCUUUAUUUUCAUCUGAUUUCAAGGAAUUAUGGUUUUCAGUGAUUUCUUCAUUUGGAUCUAUUUUGAGACAGAGUAAUAGCAUUAAAACCCCCUUCUGAAUUAAUAAGGUAAGAUGGGCUUAAAAUCACCCAAUUCAAUUCACUAUUGGAUUCUUUGGAGCUGUUAAUCUAUUCAGUGAAAAGAACAAGAACUUUGGAGCUCAAGAUUUAACUAUGGCUCCAUCACUGACCUUGAGCAUUUGUUGCUGAAACGCAAAGUGUGACAAGCCAAUGGAGAGAAAGAAGAGACACAGACAUGCAGAGAAAACACAGGGAAGAAGGCCACAUGGGAUGAAGGCAGAGAUGGGAAUGAUGCAGCUACAAG